AAUAAGUACAGUUUUACACUAUUCAUGUCCAACGUUUGACCGUUCGUCUUAUUUGAAAUUUUUUUUGAUUAGUAUUUUUAUUGUUAUUAGAUGAUAAAACAUGAAUAGUACUUUAUGGGUGACUAUUUUUUUUUAAUUUUUUCAUAAAUUUUUCAAAUAAGACGAACGGUCAAACGUUGGACACGGAUCCCCACGACUACACUUAUU
This is a microRNA precursor of Oryza sativa Japonica Group (Japanese rice), 207 nucleotides long. It matches the Rfam family "MIR812 microRNA precursor family". The record is from Rfam. Lineage: Eukaryota; Viridiplantae; Streptophyta; Magnoliopsida; Poales; Poaceae.